This 93-nucleotide non-coding RNA is filed under the name Palpitomonas bilix. The record is from RNAcentral.
GAGAGAGAAAGGAGACAACGGGGAGGGGACAUUUAUUUGAUUUCAUUUUUUUCUUUUUUUUUUCUGCUUGUUUUCGUUUGGCUUUUUCCCUUU